This 571-nucleotide small RNA is filed under the name Pongo abelii (Sumatran orangutan). RNAcentral's name for it is "retained intron". Lineage: Eukaryota; Metazoa; Chordata; Mammalia; Primates; Hominidae. The record is from RNAcentral.
CUGUUGUACUUGGUUGCAGCCCUGAAAGAGGGAUCAGCCUGGGGUCCUCCACUUCUGGAGGCCUCUAGGCUCUAUCAGCAACUGGGGGACACAACAGCAGAGCUGGAGAGUCUGGAGCUGCUAGUUGAGGCCUUGAAUGUCCCCUGCAGUUCCAAAGCCCCGCAGUUUCUCAUUGAGGUAGAAUUACUACUGCCACCACCUGACCUAGCCUCACCCCUUCAUUGUGGCACUCAGAGCCAGACCAAGCACAUACUAGCAAGCAGGUGCCUACAGACGGGGAGGUGAGGUUCCCCUUGCUCACCUGAGCUUCUCUUCCCACUUCUGAUGCCUCCCCUGGGGUGUGACUCUGCUUUUGUUCUUGUGACUUGGGGGAUGAAUGAGGCAGUGGCAGGACAUAAGUCGCCACUCCUCAGCCUCCUACCUUGCUUCUAGACCUGAACUGAGGACCCUUCUCUAAGACAUUAACCUUCUCUAUCUUUGACACUCUGAAGUCUCUUACCCAGUCCAUUCUGUAACUGGGAUAGAUCAUACUGAGCCAAAAUUGGAGCCCUAAGACUUUCCCUCCCUUUCU